Molecule: small nuclear RNA, 104 nt
Organism: Sapajus apella (tufted capuchin)
Lineage: Eukaryota; Metazoa; Chordata; Mammalia; Primates; Cebidae
Source: RefSeq, a predicted model, not a curated record
GUGCUCGCUUCAGCAUCACAUAUACUAAAAUUGGAACAAUAUAGAGAUUAGCACGGCCCCUAUGCAAAGAUGACAUACAAAUUCAUGAAGCAUUUCACAUUUUU